Molecule: ribosomal RNA, 151 nt
Filed under: uncultured archaeon
Lineage: Archaea
Description: partial 16S ribosomal RNA
Rfam family: Archaeal small subunit ribosomal RNA
Source: RNAcentral
CCCUACGGGGUGCAGCAGGCGCGAAACCUUUACAAUGCGCUAACGCGUGAUAAGGGUACUCCAAGUGCUUAUGCUUUGCAUAGGCUUUUGCUAAGGGCGAAAACCUUGGCGAAUAAGUGGUGGGAAAGACUGGUGCCAGCCGCCGCGGUAA